Molecule: long non-coding RNA, 2268 nt
Organism: Vicia villosa (hairy vetch)
Lineage: Eukaryota; Viridiplantae; Streptophyta; Magnoliopsida; Fabales; Fabaceae
Exons: 9
Source: RefSeq, a predicted model, not a curated record
UUUCUUCUUUCUCUCUCAUCCUUUCUCUCGUUCUCUCUCUUCCUUUCUCUCUUUCUCUCUCACGAGUUUCAUUCUUCUAUUUUCUCUUCUUCCUCCUCUUCUUCCUCUUCUUUUUUAUAAACCGAUACUCUCUGUAACUCUUUGCUAACAAAGCCCUAAUUAAAGUCGAUUAUGCACGGAAUUAGGGUUUUGAAAAUCCUAUUAAAAUGAAGAUGCACAAAAUUAGGGUUUCAAAAAAUUAUGAACUGUUUUAGUUUUUGCAUAUCAGUAGCAAUCCAGACUUACACGAGGAACAUAUUGAUUGUUGUGAACCCUUUCAUUAAGCUUUCUCAUUUAUAUGAUAGCCAUAUGAUGGCACAAUACAGAGGAGCGGGCAUUUGGAUUUAUUGCGAUGAAUGCAAUGUAUUGCAAUAUGCUAUCAUUGACUACACUUAUCAACGUUCAGAAUUUCCAAAACCAUUUAUAACGGUAUUUCGGAAAUGUGUUGCUGGUUUUCUUCAAGAAGUAACAUAAAAAAAGAGACAUCCAACUGAGGAGCUUUCUGUUUAAUUUGACAAGACAAAGAGCCAUCCAACUGCUUUGACCACCAAAGAGGAUCAAUGGAAUUUCCUACCAAAUUCAGUCAUCCACAGCGGGCAGCCUCAUUAAUGAGGUUUCGGCAGAAGAGGAAAGAUAGAUGCUUUGAUAAGAAAGUUCGAUAUAAUGUACGUCAAGAAGUUUCUCUCAGGGUCCUGGAGGAGGUGAGAAGCCAGCAGCAUCACCUACUACUGCUCCACCAGCCGAAGUUGCAAAGCAAACCCAACCAUCAAAGAAAUCCAAGAAGGCUAUGACAGCUUCAAUUUUCAUUUCAUAAUAGUUGGGUUGGCAUCCUCAUUUACUGUUCUAAAGUAGUUUUGACAAGUCAUUUUGUUGGUUUAAGACAUUGUUUAGUUUUCAUUUAUCAGGUGUAUGAAUUUAUAAUAGUCCCUGUUUUAAAUGGUGUUUUGCUUUAUUUAUGAGUUUUGUUGAGGAGACACUAAUGUUAUAUUUUGCUAGCUGCCUCUAUACUUUACAACUAUGUUUACAUCCUUUCUCAAUCCCGCAUAAUCCUGUAUGAAUUUACAUGCUUUCUCAAUCCUGCAUAUUAACGUAUGAAUUUACAUGCUUGUAUUUGAUUCGGCGUAACUGAGAUGCAAAAGAUGUUUAGCAUCCUCUUUUUAAGAUUGGUUUUGGAAGAAUUUCAUGGAACUUACUUUGUCAUUUUCUAAUCAACAUUGAUAGUGGAUUCCACUACUGCUGCAGAAAGAAAUACCUUCAAGGAAAAUGUAGUGACACUGGUUUAUAACCAGAUUGGCAAGUGAGAACAUUUUUCCAGUUGACUGCGGUGCAUUUGGACUGGCUUUCGAUGCCGUUUGCAGCAGGAUGGAAGUGGUUUGGGAGCGUGAAGAUGGAACUGACACGAGAAGUGUUGCAACAGGGAAGAUGCUACCCAUAUAUCCUACAACAAGGUUUGAAAAUUUGUAGUAUGGCCUUUGAUGGAUGUUGUCCUGGUUGUAAAUUUCAUGGAGAUGACAAACACAAACAACGAGAAUCAAUUUCUUUUGCGAAAUUAAGAAUUUUGUUGGGUUUGUUAAUAUCUUAUUACUUGCAAUUAGAAAUAGUUUUCAUUGGUCAUGAUAUAAUGAAUUUUGUUAGGUUUGUUAAUAUCUUAUUACUUGUAAUUAGAAAUAGUUUUCAUGAUGAAGUUCAUCUUUGAAGUGAAGUUGGAAAAGAAUAUACUUUGCAUUUCCUCCUGAUUAUGGUUUCCACAAGUCAUGAGGCUGCAAAUACUUUAAUUCCCCUUAUACAGUGGUGCAAUCUGUUUUUUUCUUCUUCUAGCGAAUGAGUUAUGAGAUUAAUUGUAGGUUUCAGAAGCCACUUAUCUUGAACUUUUUCUGUUUGUACUUGAACUAAUUUCACCAAUUUUAUUAACUGAAAAACAAAGCAGACUACGCUGCACAAUUAAAAUUAAUUUUAAUGUUAAAACCACUUUGAAUUCAAUAGCUAUAUAGUAACAUAUUACCCUAUUAAAAAUAAUUAUACAUAAGACUAAUAAUUUUAUUAUUUUACAUCAUUGCUUUUUUUAAUUAUCUUUGGAAUAUUUUAGUCGUGCUUUUUUUAGUUUUCUUUUUUAAUUUUUCUUUGUUUCAAAAUUAUUAAUUGUAUUUUUUAAUAAAUAAAUUCUCAUUAAAAUUCAGUAAAAUUAACUCUCUCUUUUAAUAACUUCGUUCUUCUAAUAAUUGUAACACC